RNAcentral lists this ribosomal RNA (496 nucleotides) under uncultured bacterium. RNAcentral describes it as "partial 16S ribosomal RNA". It matches the Rfam family "Bacterial small subunit ribosomal RNA", at positions 28 to 523 of the family's 1533-position model. The record is from RNAcentral.
GAUGAACGCUAGCGGCAGGCCUAAUACAUGCAAGUCGAGGGGUAGAAGAGGCUUGCUUCUUUGAGACCGGCGCACGGGUGCGUAACGCGUAUGCAACCUACCUUCAUCUGGGGGAUAGCCCGGAGAAAUCCGGACUAAUACCGCCUAAAAUCACAGGAUGGCAUUAUCCAAUGAUCAAACAUUUAUGGGAUGGAGAUGGGCAUGCGUGUCAUUAGCUAGUUGGCGGGGUAACGGCCCACCAAGGCGACGAUGACUAGGGGAUCUGAGAGGAUGGCCCACAAAACUGGUAAUGAGACACGGACCAGACUCCUACGGGAGGCAGCAGUAAGGAGUAUUGGUAAAUGGAGGCAACUCUGAACCAGCCAUGCCGCGUGCAGGAAGACUGCCCUAUGGGUUGUAAACUGCUUUUAUUCGGGAAUAAACCUUAUUACGUGUAAUAAGCUGAAUGUACCGAAGGAAUAAGGAUCGGCUAACUCCGUGCCAGCCGCCGCCGUAA